GAAAGACCCCGUGAACCUUUACUAUAGCUUGGCACUGAACAUUGAAUCUACAUGUGUAGAAUAGGUGGGAGACGUUGAAUCACAGACGCUAGUUUGUGUGGAGUCACCUUUGAAAUACCACCCUUGUAUAUUUGAUGUUCUAACAUUGGUCCCUAAUCGGGAUUGUGGACAGUGUCUGGUGGGUAGUUUGACUGGGGCGGGCGCCUCCCAAAUGGUAAGGUAGGCGUACAAAGGU
Molecule: ribosomal RNA, 235 nt
Filed under: Pseudo-nitzschia pungens
Lineage: Eukaryota; Bacillariophyta; Bacillariophyceae; Bacillariales; Bacillariaceae
Description: partial Bacterial large subunit ribosomal RNA
Rfam family: Bacterial large subunit ribosomal RNA
Source: RNAcentral